CCCUUAGAUGUUCUGGGCCGCACGCGCGCUACACUGAUGCAUUCAACGAGCCUAUCCUUGACCGACAGGUCCGGGUAAUCUUUGAAUCUGCAUCGUGACGGGGAUAGAUUAUUGCAAUUAUUAAUCUUCAACGAGGAAUGCCUAGUAGGCGCAAGUCAUCAGCUUGCGUCGAUUACGUCCCUGCCCUUUGUACACACCGCCCGUCGCUCCUACCGAUUGGGUGAUCCGGUGAAUAAUUCGGACUGCAGCACUGCUUGGUCUCCAGGCUUUGCAGCGGAAAGUUUAGUGAACCUUAUCACUUAGAGGAAGGAGAAGUCGUAACA
RNAcentral lists this ribosomal RNA (323 nucleotides) under uncultured eukaryote. RNAcentral describes it as "partial 18S ribosomal RNA". It matches the Rfam family "Eukaryotic small subunit ribosomal RNA", at positions 1470 to 1796 of the family's 1831-position model. The record is from RNAcentral.